Molecule: ribosomal RNA, 627 nt
Filed under: Kitasatospora sp. D1510
Lineage: Bacteria; Bacillati; Actinomycetota; Actinomycetes; Kitasatosporales; Streptomycetaceae
Description: bacterial SSU rRNA
Rfam family: Bacterial small subunit ribosomal RNA
Source: RNAcentral
UGCAGUCGAACGGUGAAGCCCUUCGGGGUGGAUCAGUGGCGAACGGGUGAGUAACACGUGGGCAAUCUGCCCUGCACUCUGGGACAAGCCCUGGAAACGGGGUCUAAUACCGGAUAUGACCUUGGUCCGCAUGCUCCUGGGUGUAAAGCUCCGGCGGUGCAGGAUGAGCCCGCGGCCUAUCAGCUUGUUGGUGGGGUGAUGGCCUACCAAGGCGACGACGGGUAGCCGGCCUGAGAGGGCGACCGGCCACACUGGGACUGAGACACGGCCCAGACUCCUACGGGAGGCAGCAGUGGGGAAUAUUGCACAAUGGGCGAAAGCCUGAUGCAGCGACGCCGCGUGAGGGAUGACGGCCUUCGGGUUGUAAACCUCUUUCAGCAGGGAAGAAGCGCAAGUGACGGUACCUGCAGAAGAAGCACCGGCUAACUACGUGCCAGCAGCCGCGGUAAUACGUAGGGUGCGAGCGUUGUCCGGAAUUAUUGGGCGUAAAGAGCUCGUAGGCGGCCUGUCGCGUCGGAUGUGAAAGCCCGGGGCUUAACCCCGGGUCUGCAUUCGAUACGGGCAGGCUGGAGUGUGGUAGGGGAGAUCGGAAUUCCUGGUGUAGCGGUGAAAUGCGCAGAUAUCAGG